UGCCACAGCCAUAUCACAAUGCAGCUCAAGAUUGACACUGAAGCUAAGCAGGGCAGAGCCUGGCAAGUACCUAGAUGAAAGACCACAUGGCAAAACUAGGUUGCUGUUGGAA
Molecule: ribosomal RNA, 112 nt
Filed under: Danio rerio (zebrafish)
Lineage: Eukaryota; Metazoa; Chordata; Actinopteri; Cypriniformes; Danionidae
Source: RNAcentral